This 21-nucleotide non-coding RNA is filed under the name Caenorhabditis elegans. The record is from RNAcentral. Lineage: Eukaryota; Metazoa; Nematoda; Chromadorea; Rhabditida; Rhabditidae.
UUCAAAUGAACGGAUUUUUUU